AUACGGAGGAUCCGAGCGUUAUCCGGAUUUAUUGGGUUUAAAGGGAGCGUAGGUGGAUUGUUAAGUCAGUUGUGAAAGUUUGCGGCUCAACCGUAAAAUUGCAGUUGAUACUGGCUGUCUUGAGUACAGUAGAGGUGGGCGGAAUUCGGGGUGUAGCGGGGAAAUGCUUAGAUAUCACGAAGAACUCCGAUUGCGAAGGCAGCUCACUGGACUGCAACUGACACUGAUGCUCGAAAGUGUGGGUAUCAAACAGGAUUAGAUACCCUGGUAGUCCACACAGUAAACGAUGAAUACUCGCUGUUUGCGAUAUACAGUAAGCGGCCAAGCGAAAGCAUUAAGUAUUCCACCUGGGGAGUACGCCGGCAACGGUGAAACUCAAAUGAAUUGGCGGGG
This 393-nucleotide ribosomal RNA is filed under the name uncultured bacterium. RNAcentral's name for it is "partial 16S ribosomal RNA". It matches the Rfam family "Bacterial small subunit ribosomal RNA", at positions 523 to 918 of the family's 1533-position model. The record is from RNAcentral.